UGAACAUGGGGGCACCCCUGCUCCGCCCUGCCGCGUGGGUGAAGAGGGCCUUCGGGUUGUAAAGCCCUUUCGGCGGGGACGAAAUCGCGGGGGUGAGAAGCCUUCGUGGAUGACGGUACUCGCAGAAGAAGCACCGGCUAACUACGUGCCAGCAGCCGCGGUAAUACGUAGGGUGCGAGCGUUAAUCGGAAUUACUGGGCGUAAAGCGUGCGCAGGCGGACUCUUAAGUCGGUGGUGAAAUCCUGGAGCUCAACUCCAGAACUGCCUUCGAUACUGAGAGUCUCGAGUCCGGGAGAGGUGAGUGGAACUGCGAGUGUAGAGGUGAAAUUCGUAGAUAUUCGCAAGAACACCAGUGGCGAAGGCGGCUCACUGGCCCGGUACUGACGCUGAGGUGCGAAA
Molecule: ribosomal RNA, 399 nt
Filed under: uncultured bacterium
Lineage: Bacteria
Description: bacterial SSU rRNA
Rfam family: Bacterial small subunit ribosomal RNA
Source: RNAcentral